Long non-coding RNA from Talpa occidentalis (Iberian mole), 1052 nucleotides. RefSeq lists it as uncharacterized. The transcript has 3 exons. The record is from RefSeq and is a predicted model, not a curated record. Lineage: Eukaryota; Metazoa; Chordata; Mammalia; Eulipotyphla; Talpidae.
UCCAUCACCUUGGAUAGGGGGCACUCAGGCAAGGACCCUCUCUGCCUGCAUGCAGAAGAGUCUGCAUUCUUUCCAUGGUGGUGACAGAUCUCUGGGUUCACGGGUCUCCACUGACCCUAGUUCCUAGUUCUCAGGUCAAGACGCAGCCAGGACACAUCGCUUCCCCUGUUGCAGGUUUAUUACACAAUGUACUUAGCGGCAGUGACCCAUCCAAAAAUGAAAUUGAGAGCAAAGUUCCAUUCACAAUAGCAUUAAAAAAAUAAUGCUCAUGAACGAGUUAAGUAAAGAAAUUAAUAAUUGAAUUCAAAAAUUCAUAUGGAGAUUCAAAACAAUUUAGAGAAAGAUAAAAUGGAAGGACUUUCACUUACCAAUUUUAAAACUUAGUAUAAAGCUCCAGUUAUCAAGACAGUAAAGAUAGACAUAUGGACAAAUGGAACAGAAUGAGAACCCAGAGAAAAUAUUUAUAGUCAAUUUAUUUUUGACAAAGGUGCCAAGAAUAUUCAUUGGGGAAAGGACAGUCUGUUUAAAAAUGGUGCCAGGACAAUUGGAUAUCCAUAUGCAAAGAGAUGAACUUGGACUUAUCCCUCACACCACCCACAAAAUUAACUCAAAAUGGAUCUUCGACCAAAGUAAAAUAACUAAGAGGAUAAAACUUACAAAAGAAAAUAGAGGAGAAAAUCAUUGAGGCUUUGGGUUAAUCAAAUACUUCAUAUAUAUGACACUAAAAACACAGUCCAUCAAAGAAAAAAAAUGAUAAAUUGGACCUCACCAAAAGUCAAAAUUUUCAUCUCAAAAAUCACCAUUAGCACACAAAGCCCGGAACACUGACACCACCACAUGCUGGAGCCUAAGUGGAGCAAGAGGAAUCCCAUUCAUCACUGGCAGGGCGCAAAACGGUGCCAUCUAAGAAGACGGUUUGGUGGGGCGAGGACAUCCGAGAACUGACAUGGAGAUGGACACACUCCUCGCCAAAGUCAGUAAGAGUCAGGGAUCAGACAAUUCAAACGAGUGAAUUUCAUGAUAUGUAAAAUGUACCUUAAUAAAGAUGGCAA